AUGCGAGCGGGAGCUGCGUCCAUGGAUGCAAAGCUACAUCUUCUUAUCCCCCGAUGCCCGCCGGAGCGGCGAGCAGCAACCAUGGAUGGCAGGAGCUGCAACCGCUUCCAUGGGAGCUACAACCUGCGUCCAUGGGAGCUGCGGCGGAAACGCGAGCUGCAACCAUGGAUGGCGGGGAGCUGCAAUCGGCCUCCGGGGGAGCUGCAUAUGGUGAAUAGUGACAUUUUUUCUUUCUUGCUGGUACCGCCGACGAUUUUUGCUGGAACCGGCUACAGAUUUUGCUACAUUCAUUCACGGCCGAGCUGCGUCCCGUGA
RNAcentral lists this ribosomal RNA (315 nucleotides) under Triticum aestivum (bread wheat). RNAcentral describes it as "partial small subunit ribosomal RNA". Lineage: Eukaryota; Viridiplantae; Streptophyta; Magnoliopsida; Poales; Poaceae. The record is from RNAcentral.